This 500-nucleotide ribosomal RNA is filed under the name uncultured bacterium. RNAcentral's name for it is "partial 16S ribosomal RNA". It matches the Rfam family "Bacterial small subunit ribosomal RNA", at positions 28 to 523 of the family's 1533-position model. The record is from RNAcentral.
GAUGAACGCUGGCGGCGUGCCUAACACAUGCAAGUCGAACGGCAGCACGGACUUCGGUCUGGUGGCGCGUGGCGAACGGGUGAGUAAUACAUCGGAACGUGCCCAGUUGUGGGGGAUAACUACUCGAAAGAGUAGCCAAUACCGCAUGAGAACUGAGGUUGAAAGCAGGGGAUCGUAAGACCUUGCGCAACUGGAGCGGCCGAUGGCAGAUUAGGUGGUUGGUGGGAUAAAAGCUUACCAAGCCGACGAUCUGUAGCUGGUCGGAGAGGACGACCAGCCACACUGGGACUUAGACACGGCCCAGACUCCUACGGGAGGCAGCAGUGGGGAAUUUUGGACAAUGGGCGAAAGCCUGAUCCAGCAAUGCCGCGUGCAGGAUGAAGGCCCUCGGGUUGUAAACUGCUUUUGUACGGAACGAAAAGCUUCGGGUUAAUACCCUGGAGUCAUGACGGUACCGUAAGAAUAAGCACCGGCUAACUACGUGCCAGCCGCCGCAGUAA